GACGAACCGUGCGAACGUUAUUCGGAAUCACUGGGCUUAAAGCGCGUGUAGGCGGGUGACCGCGUCGACGGCUGAAAGCCCCCGGCUCAACCGGGGAAGCGGCCUCGAAACGGGUUGCCUGGAGGGGAGUAGGGGGACCUGGAACUUCCGGUGGAGCGGUGAAAUGCGUUGAGAUCGGAAGGAACGCCCGUGGCGAAAGCGAGGUCCUGGGCUCUCACUGACGCUGAGACGCGAAAGCCAGGGGAGCGAACGGG
This 254-nucleotide ribosomal RNA is filed under the name uncultured bacterium. Its description in RNAcentral is "partial 16S ribosomal RNA". It matches the Rfam family "Bacterial small subunit ribosomal RNA", at positions 524 to 776 of the family's 1533-position model. The record is from RNAcentral.